AACCUCUGCAAUAGGCGAAAGCCUGACAGGGUUACUCUGAGUGGUUUCCGCUAAAGAAACCUUUUGGCACCUCUACAAAUGGUGCAGAAUAAGGGGUGGGCAAGUCUGGUGUCAGCCGCCGCGGUAAUACCAGCACCCCGAGUGGUCGGGACGAUUAUUGGGCCUAAAGCAUCCGUAGCCGGUCCUGCAAGUCUUCCGUUAAAUCCAGCUGCUCAACAGA
Molecule: ribosomal RNA, 220 nt
Filed under: uncultured crenarchaeote
Lineage: Archaea; Thermoproteati; Thermoproteota
Description: partial 16S ribosomal RNA
Rfam family: Archaeal small subunit ribosomal RNA
Source: RNAcentral